Molecule: unclassified non-coding RNA, 231 nt
Filed under: Hevea brasiliensis (rubber tree)
Lineage: Eukaryota; Viridiplantae; Streptophyta; Magnoliopsida; Malpighiales; Euphorbiaceae
Source: RNAcentral
UGUGCGUGCAGGUUUAAGUAUUGGAGUUUGAGGAUUGAUAGCAAAGGCGAUGGCUUGUGUGACAACUACUAGCCUCAUCUACUCCAUCUCUUGUGAUCGAAGACACGCUCCCACGCUCCUGCUCGUCGAUUCUUGUAUAAUGUCAAGAAAUACAACAGAAUCUUGCUUAAAACAUGCAAUAGACUCUCUUCGAUGGGUGGAUUGCGAGUUUAUUGCGAAUCCAAGGUAGAG